AUGAACUUGAAUAUAGAAAAUCCCAAGGAAUCCACUGAAAAAUUACAAGAACUGAAACAUGAGUUUUGUAAGUUUGCAGGGAGUUCGAAGCUCCAAGAAGAGGAAGAGAGCUGGGGAACAACUGGUCGGUGGAGCAGUCAGAACACACACAUUUAUCAAGUUUCCCACCUUAUAUGGACACAGGUUGUCGUGUCCCCUAACAAUUACAAUACUAUCAAAGAUCACUGGUCACAGGUCACUAUAAUAGGUUACAAUGAAAAACUCUGAAAUUUAUUAAGAAUUACCAAAAUGUGACACAGAGAUAUGAAGUGAGCACUUGGUGUUGGACAAAUGAUUCAAUGCAGGGUUGCCACAAACUUUCAAUUUGUAAAAAAAAUACAUUAUCUGUGAAUAAAGCAAAUAGUAUUUCAAUAAAGCAAAGUACGCCUGUAAUCAAGAACAAUUCAGGCAAUAUAUAGAGGUAAACAAAUGCUGUCAGAAGGCAUAGAAUAGGCAAAUAUUCAGAGGAGAAGGAAACUGGGGCUUUAAGGAAAUUGCAGGUGACUUGGCAGAGAUGACAUAUGGCUAGCAAAUUCGAGAUAGGGUCAUGGGGUGUGAGUCUGGAAAGGUAAGAAAAGCCUGCAUUAUGCAAGGUCACAGAUGCCACAACAUUGAUUUUGCCCACCCUGAAAGUAAAAUAUACCAGUGAUAACUGUUAAACUGAAGGUUACCUAAAAGGUUACAAAGUUUUAAUAAGAUUUUUCUAGUUGCAUUGUAGAGAAUGAAUAAGGAGCUCUCAAGACUGGGGAAACAGUAUUCAGCUAAGACAACAUUUUAAUAUUCUGAGUGAGAGAUGAUAGAGGUCUGAUCUAGAAACAUGGCAAAGCAAUGGAGUGAAGGGGGAAGAUUCUAGUGAUAUUUUGGAAGUAAAAUUAAUAUAAUUUUGUGCUUCAAUGACUGUGAGGAGUGACUGAAAAUAAAAUACAUUCUCCAUGAAUUAUAAAAUAUAUGUCAUAUUUCUUUUAUGCAAAUGUUCAAAAUCGCAGUUAUUAUUUUAAUUCUCUUUAUACCAUUAUAUUUUGCCCUUCAUUACAGGGAUAGAAUUUCUUGUGAUUAUAUAAAAGUGUCUUCCUCUAGUCUGAAGUUGAUCUUAGUAUAUUUUUAAGACAAAUUUUUCCUGAAUUUAUAGUUAGCUGAAUUCACAUAAUAAUCUAUGUGAAUCAUCUUUACAGGUAUUACUGUCUAUGGUGUUACCUUCUAGCUGCAUAAUCCAGGCAUAUUUCUGCCUUUCUCUCUCUAAUUACUUUUAGCUUAUUUCCCAGUUGGUAAAAAGAGGAACUUCAUUCUAAUUGAAUCCAGUUUUCAAAAAUUAUGGAUCCUCUGUUUUAUACCAAUAGUCAUUCACCUGAUACAAGGGGUAAGGGUUGCUUUUGAAACCCUUGCAUGGUGGGCUACAUAAAUACAACAAUAAAAAAUUCUAAAUAGAAGUUUUGGCAAGAAAUAACAGUAGUCUUUAUCCUACAAGCAUGGGUCCUGAAAACAGGGUUCCUUUCUUCUUCAGUCUUUGCCAAAUUGGCAAAACUGCCAUGACCUGAAAGAAGGGUGCGCAUAAUAGUCUUAGACAGCAUUAAUGAGACUGUUUCUUCUAUUGAGACAGAAGCUUUAUUUUAUACCUUUAAAGAGUCUGUGAAAAGGUUUUAACUUUAAAGGAUUUUAAAAGGUCCUCUUUUUCUUCCAUUAAAAUCAACAUUUUCUGCAUCUUGUCUUUAUUUUGUGAAGUGUUAACCAACAAAUUGAAUACAGCCUGUGCUUGGCAAAUGAAUAUUAAAUGCUUUUUCCUGGAAAAUGUGUUUGCUCAUUAAAUUUGACAGUCAUUGCUUAUGUGGUAAAUGUUGUCAGUGCCAAGAACUAUCUGGCAUGGCUGCCAGCUACAGGUCCAUUAUUUUAAUUGCCUUUAACCUAUAAUCAAUAUUUACUGCUUUCCAUAGAAAGAGACUGCAUAGCUAAGCAGUACAAAAAGUGAGUUUAUUCCUCUGAUGUUAGUUUUUGCUUUUACAUCUAAAAGGUAGUAUUAAAUGCUUCCUCUGGGUACUACUUUUUUUUUAUAUAUCAAAACUGUUUCCUACCACUUAUUUUGUGAAAUGCUCACAUCAGCCAAAUCAUAUCUAUUUCAAACAAAGCAAUCUGAAUUUAUGACUAAGUGAGACUCAAAUUCUGCUUUAUCAUAAAAUUACCUACAUCUUUUGUUUUUGUCAUUGGAAGAAGGUUCUGAAAUUUAAUAACAUUUAUGGGGAAAUGCAUGCUUCCAAGCAUAAUAUCUUUAGGAUUUUCUCAGAUAUUUUGGAAAGGACAAGCCUUCAGGCAAAAAUCAAGAGAUUCUAAUUGGAAGGAGGCAGACUGUAAAGGCUAGGAUGAUGCUUUCAUCUUUUGAGCAUGCAAGUUAACAAUGGAGAGCCUUUGAGAUUAUUAAACUUAAGAAUGGCAUUAUACAAAUGACAUUGUAAAAAGAACACUCUGAUAGUAAUGUAAAGAAAGAUUGUAAUCAUGAAGUAAGAGAAAGGGAAUAGAUUUUAAUAUAAACAAAUAGAGUUAAGUAGAAGAAUUAUAGCAAUAUUUUGCAUCAGGACUAUUACAAUGGUGUGUGUGUGUGUGUGUGUGUGUUUGCAUAGACCUAGGUGUAUGAGUUCACUGCAAGAUUUUACAUAAUAACAAAUAUAUGGAAAGAGCUUAAAUAGUAAAAAAUCAAGAAUUGAGCAAACAAAUGUUCUACAAUUGAGGUUUAUGAAGCCACUGAGUUUGAUUUUUAAGAAUUAUAUGUGAUUAUGUAACGUGUAUGACACACAGUUGACAAAAAUAAUGCUCAUGGCACAUUAAAUGAUAAGUGUAGAUGUACCUUAUAUA
RNAcentral lists this long non-coding RNA (2880 nucleotides) under Callithrix jacchus (white-tufted-ear marmoset). Its description in RNAcentral is "lncRNA (ENSCJAG00000076364.1)". The record is from RNAcentral. Lineage: Eukaryota; Metazoa; Chordata; Mammalia; Primates; Cebidae.